Lolium perenne is the source of this 348-nucleotide non-coding RNA. Lineage: Eukaryota; Viridiplantae; Streptophyta; Magnoliopsida; Poales; Poaceae. The record is from RefSeq and is a predicted model, not a curated record.
UUCCCCUCACCAUGAGAGCAUCCCUCUCACUCUCUUCUCCCCUAAUCUUUGAUGAAUUCAACUCUCUUUCUCCUUUCUCCUCUCACUAGAUUGGAUCUUGAUGCAGGUGCAUGUUGGUCCAAUCAUGGAGGAGGUUGAGCUAUCCUCAGAUCUGAAGUUCUUGAGCAAAAUCCAAAUCGAGUGAUUCAAAGUUCUACAGAUAGGUAUUGAAAAGAUCUACAACGUGGCGUUGGUCUCAUCCUCAAAUUCGUUACGGAUUUUGCAUGAACAAAAUCUGGUCAGAUCUGACUUUGUCGAAUUAAACCAGGAGCUUGGAGACGAAUUUUUGAAUGAAACCAACUGGGUAAG